RNAcentral lists this ribosomal RNA (253 nucleotides) under uncultured bacterium. RNAcentral describes it as "partial 16S ribosomal RNA". It matches the Rfam family "Bacterial small subunit ribosomal RNA", at positions 524 to 776 of the family's 1533-position model. The record is from RNAcentral.
AACGUAGGAGGCGAGCGUUAUCCGGAUUUACUGGGCGUAAAGCGCGUGCAGGCGGUCGUGCAAGUUGGGCGUGAAAUCUUUCGGCUUAACCGGGAGGGGUCGUCCAAUACUACGCGACUUGAGGGCAGGAGAGGGAAGCGGAAUUCCCGGUGUAGCGGUAAUAUGCGCAGAUAUCGGGAGGAACACCAGUGGCGAAGGCGGCUUCCUGGCCUGUUACUGACGCUAAGACGCGAAAGCUAGGGGAGCGAACGGG